AGGCAGCAGUGGGGAAUCUUGGACAAUGGGCGAAAGCCUGAUCCAGCAAUGCCGCGUGUGCGAUGAAGGCUUUCGGGUUGUAAAGCACUUUUAUCAGGGAAGAAAUGGUUUGGGAUAAUACCUCAAAUAGCUGACGGUACCUGAAGAAUAAGCACCGGCUAACUACGUGCCAGCAGCCGCGGUAAUACGUAGGGUGCAAGCGUUAAUCGGAAUUACUGGGCGUAAAGCGUGCGCAGGCGGUUUGCUAAGACAGGUGUGAAAUCCCCGGGCUCAACCCGGGAACUGCAUCUGUGACUAGCAGACUAGAGUUUGGCAGAGGGGGGUGGAAUUCCUGGUGUAGCAGUGAAAUGCGUAGAUAUCAGGAGGAACACCAAUGGCGAAGGCAGCCCCCUGGGCCACCACUGACGCUCAUGCACGAAAGCGUGGGGAGCAAACAGGAUUAGAUACCCUGGUAGUCCACGCCUAAACGAUGUCAACUAGUUGUUGGAUCUUUUUUGAUUUGGUAACGAAGCUAACGCGUGAAGUUGACCGCCUGGGGAGUACGGCCGCAAGGUUAAAACUCAAAGGAAUUGACGGGGACCCGCACAAGCGGUGGAUGAUGUGGAUUAAUUCGAUGCAACGCGAAAAACCUUACCUACCCUUGACAUGUCAGGAAUUUUACAGAGAUGUAAAAGUGCUCGAAAGAGAACCUGAACACAGGUGCUGCAUGGCUGUCGUCAGCUCGUGUCGUGAGAUGUUGGGUUAAGUCCCGCAACGAGCGCAACCCUUGUCAUUAGUUGCUACGUAAGGGCACUCUAAUGAGACUGCCGGUGACAAACCGGAGGAAGGUGGGGACGACGUCAAGUCCUCAUGGCCCUUAUGGGUAGGGCUUCACACGUCAUACAAUGGUUGGUACAGAGGGUUGCAAACCCGCGAGGGGGAGCUAAUCCCAAAAAACCAAUCGUAGUCCGGAUUGUAGUCUGCAACUCGACUGCAUGAAGUCGGAAUCGCUAGUAAUCGCGGAUCAGAAUGCCGCGGUGAAUACGUUCCCGGGUCUUGUACACACCGCCCGUCACACCAUGGGAGCGGGUUUUACCAGAAGUGGCUAGCUUAACCGUAAGGAAAGCGGUUACCACGGUAGGAUUCGUGACUGGGGUGAAGUCGUAACAAGGUAGCCGUAUCGGAAGGUGCGGCUG
This 1175-nucleotide ribosomal RNA is filed under the name marine metagenome. RNAcentral describes it as "bacterial SSU rRNA". It matches the Rfam family "Bacterial small subunit ribosomal RNA", at positions 346 to 1520 of the family's 1533-position model. The record is from RNAcentral.